This 778-nucleotide ribosomal RNA is filed under the name uncultured Neocallimastigales. RNAcentral's name for it is "partial large subunit ribosomal RNA". It matches the Rfam family "Eukaryotic large subunit ribosomal RNA", at positions 22 to 645 of the family's 3401-position model. Lineage: Eukaryota; Fungi; Neocallimastigomycota; Neocallimastigomycetes; Neocallimastigales. The record is from RNAcentral.
UAUAUCAGUCAUGCAUAGCAUUAUCAAUAAGCGGAGGAAAAGAAACUAACUAGGACUCCCUUAGUAACGGCGAGUGAAGCGGGAAGAGCUCAAAUUUGAAAUCUUCAAGGUUCUACCUUGACGAAUUGUAGUUUAUAGAAGUGUUUUCUGUUAGUAGAGUGGCAAAAGUUCUUUGGAAUAGGACAUCAUAGAGGGUGAGAAUCCCGUAUUUGGUCAUUCCUCCUAGCGUUGUGAUACACUUUCAACGAGUCGGAUUGUUUGGGGAUGCAGUCCAAAAUGGGUGGUAAAUUUCAUCUAAAGCUAAAUAUUGGCGAGAGACCGAUAGCGAACAAGUACCGUGAGGGAAAGAUGAAAAGAACUUUGAAAAGAGAGUUAAACAGUACGUGAAAUUGUCAAAAGGGAAGCGUUUGACACCAGUGUUGUUUUUCCGAAAAUCAAUUACGAAUGUUUUGUUUUUGAGGAGUUAUGACUUCAUCGGCUUGCUUCCUCUCUUUAUGAAACUUUCUUAAUGCACUUCUCGGUUAACAAGUCAACAUCAAUUUCUUUUGUUGUAAAAGGGUAUGAGGAAGGUGGCUUUCUUUUCGGAGAAAGUGUUUAUAGCCUUGUACCUCUGCAAUCGGAGAGAUUGAGGUCUAGCAGCGUAGAUCCUUCGGGGUUAGAUACAUUUGUGCUAAGUUAUAGCUUUUCAUAGACAACUUGUUGACUAUGUUAAGUCUUGUAGCUUACUCGCUUAUGCUAUUUUACCUACGCUUAGGAUGUUGAUCUCUCACAGUCGAGC